CCAAUAGCGUAUAUUAAAGUUGUUGCAGUUAAAAAGCUCGUAGUUGAAUUUCGGGAUCAAUAUGUUGGUCGUGCCUUGGUACGUACUGGCGUCAUUGGUUUCUACCUUCUGAAGAACCUCGAUGUCAUUAAUUUGGUGUCUUGGGGAAUCAGGACUGUUACUUUGAAAAAAUUAGAGUGUUUAAAGCAGGCUCACGCUUGAAUACAUUAGCAUGGAAUAAUGAAAUAGGACGUUUGAUUCUAUUUUGUUGGUUUCUAGGAUCGACGUAAUGAUUAAUAGGGAUAGUUGGAGGCAUUAGUAUUCAAUUGUCAGAGGUGGAAUUCUUGGGUUUAUUGAAGACUAACUACUGCGAAAGCAUUUGCCAAGGAUGUUUUCAUUAAUCAAGAACGAAAGUUAGGGGAUCGAAGACGGUCAGAUACCGUCGUAGUCUUAACCAUAAACUAUGCCGACUAGGGAUCGGAUGAUGUUAAUUUUUUAAUGACUCAUUCGGCGCCUUACG
RNAcentral lists this ribosomal RNA (499 nucleotides) under uncultured Glomeromycotina. RNAcentral describes it as "partial small subunit ribosomal RNA". It matches the Rfam family "Eukaryotic small subunit ribosomal RNA", at positions 591 to 1092 of the family's 1831-position model. Lineage: Eukaryota; Fungi; Glomeromycota. The record is from RNAcentral.